Molecule: ribosomal RNA, 261 nt
Filed under: uncultured bacterium
Lineage: Bacteria
Description: partial 16S ribosomal RNA
Rfam family: Bacterial small subunit ribosomal RNA
Source: RNAcentral
UACGUAGGGUGCGAGCGUUUGUCCGGAAUUACUGGGCGUAAAGAGCUCGUAGGUGGUUUGUCGCGUUGUUCGUGAAAAACUCACAGCUUAACUGUGGGCGUGCGGGCGAUACGGGCAGACUGGAGUACUGCAGGGGAGACUGGAAUUCCUGGUGUAGCGGUGGAAUGCGCAGAUAUCAGGAGGAACACCGGUGGCGAAGGCAGCUCGCUGGGACGGUACUGACGCUGAGGCGCGAAAGCGUGGGGAGCAAACAGGAUUAGA